GUGUGUCCCUCCAGUGCCGCUUGCCCCUUGUUCUCCCAAGCACCAGGGGGACCCCUGGUCUUAGAUUCAAGUUGCAUCACUAGACUAACCAGCUCUGGGAACCAGAGGGACACUGGAGGAACUAGUUUGGGAAAUGAAAAAUAUCUGCAAUGAGAAGUAAUUUUAUUCUCCUCUUCCUUUUACCCCAGUCUCACUCUCCAUAGUAGGACCUGGAUCUUUGCAUCAGAGAAAACAUAAUGAACAAUAACUGGAAUGUGUGUUUCUUUCUUUUCUGCCCUAGUAUUACUAGAACAUUUGCAUCGGGAAAAACAGAAAAGGUGAUCUUUCAAGCACUCAAGGAGUUAGGUCUUCCCAGUGGAAAGAAUGAUGAAAUUGAGCCCGUGGCAUUUUCUUAUGAAAAGUUCUAUGAACUGACACAAAAGAUUUGUCCUCGGACAGAUAUAGAAGAUCUUUUCAAAAAAAUCAAUGGAGACAAAACUGAUUAUUUAACGGUAGACCAAUUAGUGAGCUUUCUAAAUGAACAUCAACGAGAUCCUCGAUUGAAUGAAAUUUUAUUUCCAUUUUAUGAUGCCAAAAGGGCAAUGCAGAUCAUUGAGAUGUAUGAACCUGACGAAGAUUUGAAGAAAAAAGGCCUUAUAUCAAGUGAUGGGUUUUGCAGAUAUCUGAUGUCAGAUGAAAACGCCCCAGUCUUCCUAGAUCGUUUAGAACUUUACCAAGAAAUGGACCAUCCUCUGGCUCACUACUUCAUCAGUUCUUCCCAUAACACUUAUCUCACUGGCAGACAGUUCGGCGGGAAGUCUUCGGUAGAAAUGUACAGACAAGUUCUCCUGGCUGGUUGCAGAUGUGUUGAACUUGACUGCUGGGAUGGAAAAGGUGAAGACCAAGAACCAAUAAUAACUCAUGGAAAAGCAAUGUGUACAGAUAUCCUUUUUAAGGAUGUAAUUCAAGCCAUCAAGGAAACUGCAUUUGUCACAUCAGAAUAUCCUGUAAUUCUCUCCUUUGAAAAUCACUGCAGCAAAUAUCAACAGUACAAGAUGUCCAAAUAUUGCGAAGAUCUAUUUGGGGAUCUCCUGUUGAAACAAGCACUUGAAUCACAUCCACUUGAACCAGGCAGGGCUUUGCCAUCCCCCAAUGACCUCAAAAGAAAAAUACUCAUAAAAAACAAGCGGCUGAAACCUGAAGUUGAAAAAAAACAGCUGGAAGCUUUGAGAAGCAUGAUGGAAGCUGGAGAAUCUGCCUCCCCAGCAAACAUCUUAGAGGACGAUAAUGAAGAGGAGAUCGAAAGUGCUGACCAAGAGGAGGAAGCUCACCCCGAAUUCAAAUUUGGAAAUGAACUUUCUGCUGAUGACUUGGGUCACAAGGAAGCUGUUGCAAAUAGCGUCAAGAAGGGCCUGGUCACUGUAGAAGAUGAGCAGGCGUGGAUGGCAUCUUAUAAAUAUGUAGGUGCUACCACUAAUAUCCAUCCAUAUUUGUCCACAAUGAUCAACUACGCCCAGCCUGUAAAGUUUCAAGGUUUCCAUGUGGCAGAAGAACGCAAUAUUCAUUAUAACAUGUCGUCUUUUAAUGAAUCAGUCGGUCUUGGCUACUUGAAGACACAUGCAAUUGAAUUUGUCAAUUAUAACAAACGGCAAAUGAGUCGCAUUUACCCCAAGGGAGGCCGAGUCGAUUCCAGUAAUUACAUGCCUCAGAUUUUCUGGAACGCUGGCUGCCAGAUGGUUUCGCUGAACUAUCAAACCCCAGAUUUAGCGAUGCAAUUGAAUCAGGGAAAAUUUGAGUAUAAUGGAUCGUGCGGGUACCUUCUCAAACCAGAUUUCAUGAGGCGGCCUGAUCGAACAUUUGACCCCUUCUCUGAAACUCCUGUUGAUGGUGUUAUUGCAGCCACUUGCUCAGUGCAGGUUAUAUCAGGUCAAUUCUUAUCAGAUAAGAAAAUUGGCACCUACGUAGAGGUGGAUAUGUAUGGGUUGCCCACUGACACCAUACGUAAGGAAUUCCGAACUCGCAUGGUUAUGAAUAAUGGACUCAAUCCAGUUUACAAUGAAGAGUCAUUUGUAUUUCGGAAGGUGAUCCUGCCAGACCUGGCUGUCUUGAGAAUAGCUGUGUAUGAUGAUAACAACAAGCUGAUUGGCCAGAGGAUCCUCCCGCUUGAUGGCCUCCAAGCCGGAUAUCGACACAUUUCCCUUCGAAAUGAGGGAAAUAAACCAUUAUCACUACCAACAAUUUUCUGCAAUAUUGUUCUUAAAACAUAUGUGCCUGAUGGAUUUGGAGAUAUCGUGGAUGCUUUAUCAGAUCCAAAGAAAUUUCUCUCAAUUACAGAAAAGAGAGCAGACCAAAUGAGAGCUAUGGGCAUUGAAACUAGUGACAUAGCCGACGUGCCCAGUGACACUUCCAAAAAUGACAAGAAAGGAAAGGCCAACACCGCCAAAGCAAAUGUGACCCCUCAGAGUAGCUCUGAGCUCAGACCAACCACCACGGCUGCCCUGGCCUCUGGUGUGGAAGCCAAGAAAGGUAUUGAACUUAUCCCUCAAGUAAGGAUAGAAGACUUGAAGCAGAUGAAGGCUUACUUGAAGCAUUUAAAGAAACAGCAGAAGGAGCUAAAUUCUUUAAAGAAGAAACAUGCAAAGGAACACAGUACCAUGCAGAAGUUACACUGCACGCAAGUUGACAAAAUUGUGGCACAGUAUGACAAAGAGAAGUCGACUCAUGAGAAAAUCCUAGAGAAGGCAAUGAAGAAGAAGGGGGGAAGUAAUUGUCUCGAAAUGAAAAAAGAAACAGAAAUCAAAAUUCAGACGCUGACAUCAGAUCACAAAUCUAAGGUCAAAGAGAUUGUAGCACAGCACACAAAGGAAUGGUCAGAAAUGAUCAAUACCCACAGUGCUGAGGAGCAAGAAAUCCGAGACCUGCACCUCAGCCAGCAGUGUGAGCUGCUGAAAAAGCUACUCAUCAAUGCCCACGAGCAGCAAACCCAGCAGCUGAAACUGUCCCAUGACAGGGAAAGCAAGGAAAUGCGAGCACACCAGGCUAAGAUUUCUAUGGAAAAUAGCAAAGCCAUCAGCCAAGAUAAAUCUAUCAAGAAUAAAGCAGAACGGGAAAGGCGAGUCAGGGAGUUAAACAGCAGCAACACUAAAAAGUUUCUGGAAGAAAGAAAGAGACUUGCCAUGAAGCAGUCCAAAGAAAUGGAUCAGUUGAAAAAAGUCCAGCUUGAACAUCUAGAAUUCCUAGAGAAACAGAAUGAGCAGGCGAAGGAGAUGCAGCAGAUGGUGAAAUUGGAAGCCGAGAUGGACCGCAGACCAGCAACAGUAGUAUGAAACUCCAAAAUGCAAACUGAAGCAGCAAACCCACAAAGCAUCAAAAGACUCACUCACAAACUUCUGAACACAAACUCCAUGGAUGAAAGCUGUUUAUUUUGUUUCCUUUAUGUGUAAACAAGAUGAUAUCUGAAACCAGAGAGACUUGGAAUGUCUGACUGACUUCUAUUUAACAGCUUGAGUAUUGCAUUUCCUUGGCCAAACAAAAAUAGCUACAAAUCCACAAAAAUUUACUAUUCCAGUAAGGCAGAGUUCAACCAUUGAUAAUACAACUUAAACAUGUUUGCUAUAAAAUACCAUCACAAGUAAAUGAGCUUGGUGUGAACAACUCUCCUUUGUGAUGCCUUAGGACAUGUUUGAACUGCAGCAAAAAACAAAAACAAAAAACAGUGCAUUAGCAAUUUCAUAGCAAGUGCAUGCACUAGGAAAAGAAAACUCUGUCUACAAAUUUAUUAGCAGAAGUGGCGGUCUGCUAGACAAAUAAUUUUGCAAAAUUUUUCUACAUCUAAGUUACCUCAUCAGUAAGUGCCAUGUCUCUACCAUGCCAUCAGAGGCUAAUUUCCUGUAAAAGUUGUGGAAAUUGUUAGAACAAUAGAAAAAUAGAGCAGUGUAUGUGUGCCAAAACUCAUCAUUACUCAAAGGAGAACUGUGUUAGGCACAUUUAAGAAAGUUUACAUCUGACAUUGCUUUAUAGGAAUUGUUUCUGCAGAUUCCGGGUAUUAUAAUUCACACCAUAAAGAUUGUGAAGUGGUUAUUGGCAAACGUUUGUAAAUGUGACCAUGUAUAAAGUAUUUAUACUCUUUAAUUCACACUGUUAGAGAGCAAAAUCAUCUAAGUAUUGCCACAUGACAAGAUUAGUAAACAGGAAUACUAGAACUAUGUUUGCAUGAUACACAAGCACCAAUAAAGACUAAUCCAUACACAGUUAACCUAAUGCCAAAUAAAUACUGGUUAAAUAAAUGUAUGGCACAGAAUAUAAUUUGACUAUCAAGACUUUUAGCAUAAUGAAAAACCCCCUCUCUAUAUAUAUAUGUGUAUAUGAAUUAUGUGGGCAUUCUUGAUACUUCAAGUUCUAGUUUGAAAAAAAUACAUAACUAAUUUAAUUUUACACAAAAAUAUUUAUGCAGAUUUUCAGAAUUUCAUAUCAGGAAAUGACCUUUUUAUGUCUGUUAAAUAUCAAAACAAUUUGCUACAGUGUUAAUCUGCAUGGUCUUUAAGCCUGCUGUAGUUGAGUUGCAGACAGUGCAUGAAAAAGUAUUCCGCUGGGAAUUGAGCCAUGCCACCAAAGCCAAGAGGAGCGCAUGGAAACCCGGUAGUCUAGAACUAAUCAGAUUACUGAUUUUAGGGCACAGCACCAAAUGAAUUGUUGUAUAUGCUUGUAAAAAUUGAUUCUGUGUGUUCCUCUGAACAAAGCGGAGAAAAUGAUGAUACCAUCAAUAUUGAAAUUAAACUUCCAACUUCUCUAAUAAAAAAUUAAAACACGCAUAACACUCGUCAAGAGUAUUUGCUCCCAAGACACAUUCUAGCAAAUGUUUUGCCUUUUUCAUAUACCUGAUAUCAUCGUUAUUUUCAAAGGGGGCUUAUUAAUACCCUCAGCAUGUUUUUCACCCAAAUGAUGCAAAACAUGCAGAUUCUAGUUGACUUCAGAUGUAAUAGACUUGUUUUUCUCCUAUUUAUGAUUUGAAGUGGAUUCUGUAAAAUAUCUCUUAUUCUUAGUUUCCUUAUCUGUAAAACAGUGGAGUUAGACUACAUAUCUUUUGGCACUAACAAACAUCUCAUGAAAAAUUAUGGUUAAUAAAAUAUCACCACAUUUGGAUUGCCAAUUUUCAAAGAUUCUGAGUGGCUUCUCAUCAUCAAAUCAAAGCAAAUCAAAUCCAAGAGCUCAACUAUGCUCACCAUUCUGUAACACUUGACUGAAUUCAUCACUUGCCUCCUGUUGUUUCUGCUUUGGAGAGGUACUACUAGUUUUUCCAUUUUUCUUAUUUCUUCCCUGGCUUUUCAUCCUCCUAGGCCACCAUAAGCAUUUAUAUUUUCCAGUGUUAUAUAUGGAACCAGUUUUUUUUUCUUUGAUCCAGCUUACUUUUAGUAUUUGAGACAUCAUACCAUUAAUCCAUUGUAGUAGGAUUAAAAUGUACACACAACUCAAAUGUGCAACAAAAGCAUGUGUUGCCUGCUAUUGUAAGUUCAUAUUGCACUCAAACCUUGCCUUAUCCCUUAUUAUGAAGAAAAUUUAAUAGCCAAUUAAAGUAACUCAGUGUCUUCCA
This 5569-nucleotide small RNA is filed under the name Pan troglodytes (chimpanzee). RNAcentral's name for it is "processed transcript". The record is from RNAcentral. Lineage: Eukaryota; Metazoa; Chordata; Mammalia; Primates; Hominidae.